GCUAAAGACCCGGAUAGCUGGGUUCUCUCGCAUGAGAGGAUCAUGAAACACGGUUCCGAUUCAAUUUGGGCUGUGGCUUAUAGAUGGGCCUGCGGCGCAUUAGCUAGUUGGUAGGGUAACGGCCUACCAAGGCGACGAUGCGUAGCCGACCUGAGAGGGUGACCGGCCACACUGGGACUGAGACACGGCCCAGACUCCUACGGGAGGCAGCAGUAGGGAAUCUUCCGCAAUGGACGCAAGUCUGACGGAGCAACGCCGCGUGAGUGAUGAAGGUUUUCGGAUCGUAAAGCUCUGUUGCCCUAGACGAAUAGCAAGGAGAGUAACUGCUCCUUGUGUGACGGUAUAGGAGAAGAAAGCCCCGGCUAACUACGUGC
This 374-nucleotide ribosomal RNA is filed under the name uncultured Paenibacillus sp. RNAcentral's name for it is "bacterial SSU rRNA". It matches the Rfam family "Bacterial small subunit ribosomal RNA", at positions 140 to 508 of the family's 1533-position model. The record is from RNAcentral. Lineage: Bacteria; Bacillati; Bacillota; Bacilli; Caryophanales; Paenibacillaceae.